RNAcentral lists this long non-coding RNA (268 nucleotides) under Chloebia gouldiae (Gouldian finch). Its description in RNAcentral is "Erythrura gouldiae (Gouldian finch) lncRNA (ENSEGOG00005002677.1)". The record is from RNAcentral. Lineage: Eukaryota; Metazoa; Chordata; Aves; Passeriformes; Passeridae.
GUGGAACAUCCCAUACUUUUCAAAGAUCUCCUGGAGUCUGUGAAAGCUAUUUGUGUGAACAUGGGCAGCUGAAAGAAGCAAAGGCAUUGUGAGCCCUGCACAGUCUUGGGAUGGUCUGUGUUUGGGACAUGAGAGUAGUAUGGCGUUACUCUGUUUGCUUUGGAAGGACUCCAAAAUGAAACUUAAUGAGAUUGUGUUCAGUGGCUAUUACGGCUGGAGAAUUGAGAAAGGCAAAAAUAAAGUGAAAGAACAGAAAAUGAAGCUCUAA